RNAcentral lists this ribosomal RNA (596 nucleotides) under uncultured Fusarium. Its description in RNAcentral is "eukaryotic LSU rRNA". The stretch from base 222 to 375 matches the Rfam family "5.8S ribosomal RNA". The record is from RNAcentral. Lineage: Eukaryota; Fungi; Ascomycota; Sordariomycetes; Hypocreales; Nectriaceae.
UUCUUGGUCAUUUAGAGGAAGUAAAAGUCGUAACAAGGUCUCCGUUGGUGAACCAGCGGAGGGAUCAUUACCGAGUUUACAACUCCCAAACCCCUGUGAACAUACCUUAAUGUUGCCUCGGCGGAUCAGCCCGCGCCCCGUAAAACGGGACGGCCCGCCAGAGGACCCAAACUCUAAUGUUUCUUAUUGUAACUUCUGAGUAAAACAAACAAAUAAAUCAAAACUUUCAACAACGGAUCUCUUGGUUCUGGCAUCGAUGAAGAACGCAGCAAAAUGCGAUAAGUAAUGUGAAUUGCAGAAUUCAGUGAAUCAUCGAAUCUUUGAACGCACAUUGCGCCCGCUGGUAUUCCGGCGGGCAUGCCUGUUCGAGCGUCAUUUCAACCCUCAAGCCCCCGGGUUUGGUGUUGGGGAUCGGCUCUGCCUUCUGGCGGUGCCGCCCCCGAAAUACAUUGGCGGUCUCGCUGCAGCCUCCAUUGCGUAGUAGCUAACACCUCGCAACUGGAACGCGGCGCGGCCAUGCCGUAAAACCCCAACUUCUGAAUGUUGACCUCGGAUCAGGUAGGAAUACCCGCUGAACUUAAGCAUAUCAAUAAGCG